AGUGAACGCUGGCGGUAGGCCUAACACAUGCAAGUCGAACGGCAGCACAGUAAGAGCUUGCUCUUACGGGUGGCGAGUGGCGGACGGGUGAGGAAUACAUCGGAAUCUACUUUUUCGUGGGGGAUAACGUAGGGAAACUUACGCUAAUACCGCAUACGACCUACGGGAGAAAGCAGGGGAUCUUCGGGCCUUGCGCGAUUGAAUGAGCCGAUGUCGGAUUAGCUAGUUGGCGGGGUAAAGGCCCACCAAGGCGACGAUCCGUAGCUGGUCUGAGAGGAUGAUCAGCCACACUGGAACUGAGACACGGUCCAGACUCCUACGGGAGGCAGCAGUGGGGAAUAUUGGACAAUGGGCGCAAGCCUGAUCCAGCCAUACCGCGUGGGUGAAGAAGGCCUUCGGGUUGUAAAGCCCUUUUGUUGGGAAAGAAAAGCAGCAGGUUAAUACCCCGCUGUUCUGACGGUACCCAAAGAAUAAGCACCGGCUAACUUCGUG
RNAcentral lists this ribosomal RNA (492 nucleotides) under uncultured bacterium. Its description in RNAcentral is "partial 16S ribosomal RNA". It matches the Rfam family "Bacterial small subunit ribosomal RNA", at positions 29 to 507 of the family's 1533-position model. The record is from RNAcentral.